UACGGAGGGGCCUAGCGUUGUUCGGAAUUACUGGGCGUAAAGCGCGCGUAGGCUGAUUAGUCAGUCAGAGGUGAAAUCCCGGGGCUCAACCCCGGAACUGCCUUUGAUACUGCUAGUCUUGAGUUCGAGAUAGGUGAGUGGAAUUCCGAGUGUAGAGGUUAAAUUCGUAGAUAUUCGGAGGAACACCAGUGGCGAAGGCGGCUCACUGGCUCGAUACUGACGCUGAGGUGCGAAAGCGUGGGGAGUAAACAGG
RNAcentral lists this unclassified non-coding RNA (253 nucleotides) under uncultured Rhodobacterales bacterium. RNAcentral describes it as "contains 16S-23S intergenic spacer region". It matches the Rfam family "Bacterial small subunit ribosomal RNA", at positions 524 to 776 of the family's 1533-position model. The record is from RNAcentral. Lineage: Bacteria; Pseudomonadati; Pseudomonadota; Alphaproteobacteria; Rhodobacterales.